CAGUAGCCGCGGGAAUACAGAGGGUGCAAGCGUUAAUCGGAAUUACUGGGCGUAAAGCGCGCGUAGGUGGUUCGCCAAGUUGGAUGUGAAAUCCCCGGGCUCAACCUGGGAACUGCAUCCAAAACUGGCGAGCUAGAGUAUGGUAGAGGGUGGUGGAAUUUCCUGUGUAGCGGUGAAAUGCGUAGAUAUAGGAAGGAACAUCAGUGGCGAAGGCGACCACCUGGACUGAUACUGACACUGAGGUGCGAAAGCGUGGGGAGCAAACAGGAUUAGAUACCCCAGUAGUCCCUGUCUCUUAUAA
RNAcentral lists this ribosomal RNA (301 nucleotides) under uncultured bacterium. RNAcentral describes it as "partial 16S ribosomal RNA". It matches the Rfam family "Bacterial small subunit ribosomal RNA", at positions 509 to 809 of the family's 1533-position model. The record is from RNAcentral.